GCGACAAGCGCGCAUUGGCGUAGAGAUCUUUUGGCUUUGUUUUGCGACUGCAACUCUUGCCACAGAGUCUGCUCCGCAGUGGAACUGUGUCUUGGGGCCCCUUGAGGCUGCUUAUCGCGCGUCAAUUGCCAGACAACUUCAUUGCUGCCACAGUUGGCUGCAGCAAAGCGAGGCAAAGAGAUUCCUGCGCAUUGAUGUUGACAGCAGGAGUUCCAAGCACGCGUUGCAACCACAGAAGGAAGUGUCAGUUGCACCACAGACACAGCCACAGCCACAGACACAGAGCUUUGUGGUACGAAU
This 300-nucleotide long non-coding RNA is filed under the name Drosophila guanche. The record is from RNAcentral. Lineage: Eukaryota; Metazoa; Arthropoda; Insecta; Diptera; Drosophilidae.